ACUCCUACGGGAGGCAGCAGUGGGGAAUUUUGGACAAUGGGCGCAAGCCUGAUCCAGCAAUGCCGCGUGUGUGAAGAAGGCCUUCGGGUUGUAAAGCACUUUGUCAGGAAAGAAAUGCUUGGCUCUAAUACACCGCGGGUGAUGACGUAC
Molecule: ribosomal RNA, 150 nt
Filed under: Burkholderia cepacia
Lineage: Bacteria; Pseudomonadati; Pseudomonadota; Betaproteobacteria; Burkholderiales; Burkholderiaceae
Description: partial 16S ribosomal RNA
Rfam family: Bacterial small subunit ribosomal RNA
Source: RNAcentral